This 482-nucleotide ribosomal RNA is filed under the name uncultured bacterium. Its description in RNAcentral is "partial 16S ribosomal RNA". It matches the Rfam family "Bacterial small subunit ribosomal RNA", at positions 28 to 507 of the family's 1533-position model. The record is from RNAcentral.
GAUGAACGCUAGCGGCAGGCCUAAUACAUGCAAGUCGGACGGGAUUCAGGAGCUUGCUUCUGAUGAGAGUGGCGCACGGGUGCGUAACACGUAUGUAACCUACCUUUAUCAGGGGGAUAGCCUCUCGAAAGAGAGAUUAAGCCCGCAUAAAAUCACAGCACAGCAUUGUGUAAUGAUCAAAUAUUUAUAGGAUAAAGAUGGGCAUGCGGAACAUUAGCUAGAUGGCGGGGUAACGGCCCACCAUGGCGACGAUGUUUAGGGGAUCUGAGAGGAUGGCCCCCCACACUGGUACUGAGACACGGACCAGACUCCUACGGGAGGCAGCAGUAAGGAAUAUUGGUCAAUGGGCGGAAGCCUGAACCAGCCAUGCCGCGUGCAGGAAGACGGCCCUACGGGUUGUAAACCGCUUUUAUACGGGAAUAAACCCAGAUACGUGUAUCUGGCUGAAUGUACUGUAAGAAUAAGGAUCGGCUAACUCCGUG